Molecule: ribosomal RNA, 901 nt
Filed under: Streptomyces sp. AQS4
Lineage: Bacteria; Bacillati; Actinomycetota; Actinomycetes; Kitasatosporales; Streptomycetaceae
Description: bacterial SSU rRNA
Rfam family: Bacterial small subunit ribosomal RNA
Source: RNAcentral
UAAUCUUCAAUCCACGUAGUAUGUUUUGGAACCUGGCUUCAGGCACGAACGCUGGCGGGCGUGGCUUUAACACCAUGCAAGGUCGAACGAUGAACCACUUCGGUGGGGAUUAGUGGCGAACGGGUGAGUAACACGUGGGCAAUUUGCCCUGCACUCUGGGACAAAGCCCUGGAAACGGGGUCUAAUACCGGAUACUGACCUUCACGGGCAUCUGUGAAGGUCGAAAGCUCCGGCGGUGCAGGAUGAGCCCGCGGCCUAUCAGCUUGUUGGUGAGGUAAUGGCUCACCAAGGCGACGACGGGUAGCCGGCCUGAGAGGGCGACCGGCCACACUGGGACUGAGACACGGCCCAGACUCCUACGGGAGGCAGCAGUGGGGAAUAUUGCACAAUGGGCGAAAGCCUGAUGCAGCGACGCCGCGUGAGGGAUGACGGCCUUCGGGUUGUAAACCUCUUUCAGCAGGGAAGAAGCGAAAGUGACGGUACCUGCAGAAGAAGCGCCGGCUAACUACGUGCCAGCAGCCGCGGUAAUACGUAGGGCGCAAGCGUUGUCCGGAAUUAUUGGGCGUAAAGAGCUUGUAGGCGGCUUGUCACGUCGGUUGUGAAAGCCCGGGGCUUAACCCCGGGUUUGCAGUCGAUACGGGCAGGCUAGAGUUCGGUAGGGGAGAUCGGAAUUCCUGGUGUAGCGGUGAAAUGCGCAGAUAUCAGGAGGAACCCCGGUGGGGAAGGGGGAUUUUUGGGCCGAUACUGACGCUGAGGAGCGAAAGCGUGGGGAGCGAACAGGAUUAGAUACCCUUGUAGUUCACGCCGUAAACGGUGGGCACUAGGUGUGGGCAACCUUUCCACGUUGUUCGUGCCGCAUUCUCAACAAGCAUGCUAAGUGCCCCGCCUGGGGGAAGUACGA